UACAGAGGGUGCAAGCGUUAUUCGGAGUUACUGGGCGUAAAGAGCGUGUAGGCGGUUUGAUAAGUCUGGUGUGAAAGCCCUAGACCCAAUCUAGGAAGUGCAUUGGAUACUGUCAGACUAGAGUACAGGAGAGGAGAGCGGAAUUCCAGGUGUAGAGGUGAAAUUCGUAGAUAUCUGGAGGAACAACAGAAGCGAAGGCGGCUCUCUGGACUGUCACUGACGCUGAGGCGCGAAAGCGUGGGGAGCAAACAGG
This 253-nucleotide ribosomal RNA is filed under the name uncultured bacterium. Its description in RNAcentral is "partial 16S ribosomal RNA". It matches the Rfam family "Bacterial small subunit ribosomal RNA", at positions 524 to 776 of the family's 1533-position model. The record is from RNAcentral.